UUUGAAUGUAAAUGUAAGUCGCUUUGGAUAAAAGCGUCUGCUAAAUGACUAAAU
This is a non-coding RNA of Danio rerio (zebrafish), 54 nucleotides long. The record is from Rfam. NCBI's taxonomy places the organism in Eukaryota, Metazoa, Chordata, Actinopteri, Cypriniformes, Danionidae.